RNAcentral lists this ribosomal RNA (233 nucleotides) under uncultured bacterium. RNAcentral's name for it is "partial 16S ribosomal RNA". It matches the Rfam family "Bacterial small subunit ribosomal RNA", at positions 118 to 350 of the family's 1533-position model. The record is from RNAcentral.
UGGACAACCUGCCCCUCUCUCUGGGAUAACCCCGGGAAACCGGAGCUAAUACCGGAUACUCCGGCUGGAUCGCAUGGUCCGGCCGGGAAAGGUCCGCCGGAGAGGGAUGGGCCCGCGGCCUAUCAGCUUGUUGGUGGGGUCAUGGCUCACCAAGGCGACGACGGGUAGCUGGUCUGAGAGGACGACCAGCCACACUGGAACUGAGAUACGGUCCAGACUCCGUACGGGAGGCA